RNAcentral lists this ribosomal RNA (470 nucleotides) under uncultured Acidobacteriota bacterium. RNAcentral's name for it is "bacterial SSU rRNA". It matches the Rfam family "Bacterial small subunit ribosomal RNA", at positions 38 to 485 of the family's 1533-position model. Lineage: Bacteria; Pseudomonadati; Acidobacteriota. The record is from RNAcentral.
GGCGGCGUGCCUAACACAUGCAAGUCGAACGCGAAAGCCCCUUCGGGGGUAAGUAGAGUGGCGUCCGGGUGAGUAACACGUGGGUAAUCUGCCUUCGGGUGGGGAAUAACCAGUCGAAAGAUUGGCUAAUACCGCAUAAUGCAGCGGCACCUAAUGGUGAUUAGUUGUUAAAGCGGGGGAUCGCAAGACCUCGCGCCUGAAGAGGAGCCUGCGGCAGAUUAGCUAGUUGGUGAGGUAAUGGCUCACCAAGGCUUCGAUCUGUAGCUGGUCUGAGAGGACGGCCAGCCACACUGGCACUGACACACGGGCCAGACUCCUACGGGAGGCAGCAGUGGGGAAUUUUGGGCAAUGGGCGAAAGCCUGACCCAGCAACGCCGCGUGAGGGAGGAAAUCCUUCGGGAUGUAAACCUCNCAAGCAAGGGAAGANCGCUUCCGAUUUAAUAAAUCGGAAGUUCGACGGUACCUUGCGU